Molecule: ribosomal RNA, 746 nt
Filed under: uncultured cyanobacterium
Lineage: Bacteria; Bacillati; Cyanobacteriota
Description: bacterial SSU rRNA
Rfam family: Bacterial small subunit ribosomal RNA
Source: RNAcentral
AGAGUUUGAUCCUGGCUCAGGAUGAACGCUGGCGGUCUGCUUAACACAUGCAAGUCGAACGCACCUUUCGGGGUGAGCGGCGGACGGGUGAGUAACGCGUGAGAAUCUGCCUAGAGGUCGGGGACAACCACUGGAAACGGUGGCUAAUACCGGAUGUGCCUUUAGGGGUGAAAGAUUAAUUGCCAGAAGAGGAGCUCGCGUCUGAUUAGCUAGUUGGUGAGGUAAAGGCUCACCAAGGCAGCGAUCAGUAGCUGGUCUGAGAGGAUGACCAGCCACACUGGGACUGAGACACGGCCCAGACUCCUACGGGAGGCAGCAGUGGGGAAUUUUCCGCAAUGGGCGAAAGCCUGACGGAGCAAUACCGCGUGAGGGAGGAAGGCUCUUGGGUUGUAAACCUCUUUUAUCAGGGAAGAACCAAAUGACGGUACCUGAAGAAUCAGCAUCGGCUAACUCCGUGCCAGCAGCCGCGGUAAUACGGAGGAUGCAAGCGUUAUCCGGAAUUAUUGGGCGUAAAGCGUCCGCAGGUGGCUCAUCAAGUCUGCUGUCAAAGGCAGGGGCUUAACCCCUGAAAGGCAGUGGAAACUGGAGAGCUAGAGUGCAGUAGGGGUAGAGGGAAUUCCCGGUGUAGCGGUGAAAUGCGUAGAGAUCGGGAAGAACAUCGGUGGCGAAAGCGCUCUGCUGGACUGCAACUGACACUCAUGGACGAAAGCUAGGGGAGCGAAUGGGAUUAGAUACCCCAGUAGUCC